UUCUAUCCUCUCUCACUUCUCCUCUCUGUUCUCAGGACCAGCUGUGAUGAAGCAGCUGCCCUACAGCAGUACUGGGCCCUCUGCGUCCCUGAGCAGCUGAUUGUGCGCUGGCUGUACUCAGAACAGCGCUUUCAGCUCAGACACAUCCCAGAAUUGGCUCCUUUAUCUGAUCUCAGAUCUCUCCGCGUCGCUGUCUGUCCCUGAGCUAUCUGCCAGUGGCAUGUGUGGGAGCCAGGUGGUGGGUUGGAGUGAACAUUAACUGAGUCUCUACAGGCCGUGUCCAUUCAGGCUCUUUGUUCACUAGCGCUCUUUGAACACUAGCUAAUGCUCUGAUGGAGGAUUCAAAU
Alosa alosa (allis shad) is the source of this 347-nucleotide long non-coding RNA. RefSeq lists it as uncharacterized. The transcript is spliced from 3 exons. The record is from RefSeq and is a predicted model, not a curated record. Lineage: Eukaryota; Metazoa; Chordata; Actinopteri; Clupeiformes; Clupeidae.